Molecule: long non-coding RNA, 339 nt
Filed under: Nicotiana benthamiana
Lineage: Eukaryota; Viridiplantae; Streptophyta; Magnoliopsida; Solanales; Solanaceae
Description: long non-coding RNA (NBEN_LNC017159)
Source: RNAcentral
UUGGCUUUUAUUUCUUUUUCUUUAAUGUUUUCUUUUACUGCUUUCCUUCAAUACUGUUGUAAUUAUGAGCAAUCAUUGUAAUCAUCACUUUAUGAACGUGCAAAUACGUGGAAAUUUAUUUCAUUCUAGUAAUUGCAUCCUCAACAUCAUAUUUCACUCGUGCCAAUUAGAAUACCAUAGCAACGGUUAUAAUGAGUGGUUGCGCCCUUCCGAUAUUAUCACCCCCUAAGUUUGGCAAAGACGUAUUUGUGGUAAAACUAGUCGAUCAGCGGUGCAGUUGACGGUUCCGUGCCUUUCCAUCUUGAGUUGUCCGCUCAAGGGUACCGGUCUAAUACCCAU